This 384-nucleotide long non-coding RNA is filed under the name Hordeum vulgare. RNAcentral's name for it is "long non-coding RNA (HVUL_LNC011179)". Lineage: Eukaryota; Viridiplantae; Streptophyta; Magnoliopsida; Poales; Poaceae. The record is from RNAcentral.
UUGGAACGAAACUUGAAGGGCUUUAGGAUGUAGCGCCCCGGGGCCGACAGUAUGCAGGUCGAGUAAGUCUACCUUCACACAACACACAUGUUGAAAACGUGCUGAUCAUGUGACAAGACGGUCUUUUUUUUUAGCAGAGUACAAUCGAAGUCGUUCACAUACACUCACCUCUAUGAACGCACGCACGCACAUCCAACCCCUAUGAGCAUCUUCGAGAGACUAAGCCGGCACAUCAUUUUGAGAUUGACGAAAUCGUCACUGACGCCUUCGUUGUCGACGGGAACCUGAAAUAAAUCCAGGAAAAUGCAAGCACCAACGUCAAGUCUGGGACUUGAACUCUGGUGGACAGGGGAUACCACAGUCCUCCUAACCAUCCAACCACGG